This 209-nucleotide long non-coding RNA is filed under the name Mytilus galloprovincialis (Mediterranean mussel). Lineage: Eukaryota; Metazoa; Mollusca; Bivalvia; Mytilida; Mytilidae. The record is from RNAcentral.
GGAGGCGUCCUUCAGUUGGCCCCUUAACAAAUAUAUACUAUAUAUAUAUAUAUAUAUAUAGUCCAGUGAUAAUGAACGCCAUACUAAUUUCCAAAUUGUACACAAGAAACCAAAAUUAAAAUAAUACAAGACUAACAAAGGCCAGAGACUCCUGACUUGGAACAGGCGCAAACAUGUUUAUGAUCUCAACCUCCCCCUAUACCUCUAGC